UGGAGCUUCCUGUGCAUCAGUUUCUGUCCGUUUCCUCUUGUCAUUUCAUAUGAAAUAUGAAGGAUCUCCUAAAACUCACUGUAACUGUGGGUCAUCAUUGAUUUUAAGUUCUCAUGCAUUCACGCAGACUGCUUUUGGAGCAAGCAUGCCAGCGCUGCCGCGGCACCUGCGUGGGGGGAAAGCGCAGGCAGGAAGUUACAGUAUGCAUUCACCGUGUGUGUGUGUGUGUGUGUCUGUGUGUGUGUGUCUGUGUGUGUGUUUGUUUCUCUGUGUCUGUGUUUCUGUGUCUGUGUUUCUCUGUGUGUCUGUUUCUGUGUGUCUGUUUCUCUCUGUCUGUGCGUCUCUGUGUCUGCAUGUCUGUGUGUCUGUGUUUCUCUGUGUCUGUGUUUCUCUGUGUCUGUGUUUCUCUGUCUGUGUUUCUGUGUCUGUGUUUCUGUGUCUGUGUUUCUCUGUGUGUCUGUUUCUGUGUGUCUGUUUCUCUCUGUGUCUGUGCGUCUCUCUGUGUCUGCAUCUCUGUGUGUGUGUCUGUGUGUGUGUGUGUCUCUGUGUGUCUGUGUUUCGCUGUGUGUCUGUUUCUCUGUGUCUGUGUGUGUCUCUGUGUCUCUGUGUGUCUGUUUGUGUGUCUGUGUUUCUCUGUGUGUCUGUCUCUCUGUGUCUCUCUGUGUGUCUGUGUUUCUCUGUGUGUCUACGUUUCUCUGUCUCUGUGUCUGUGUUUCUCUGUGUCUGUGUUUGUGUUUCUCUCUGUGUCUGUGUGUCUGUGUCUCUCUGUGUGUCUGUGUGUCUCUCUGCGUGUCUGUGUUUCUCUGUGUGUCUGUGUUUCUCUGUCUGUGUGUCUAUGUUUCUCUGUGUGUGUGUCUGUGUUUCUCUCUGUGUGUCUCUCUCUGUGUGUCUGUGUUUCUCUGUCUGUGUGUCUCAGUGUCUGUGUGUCUAUGUUUCUCUGUCUGGGGCCGCUGGUGCGCGCCGCCGCCGCCGGGGCUCGCUGCGCGGGGCGCGCCCCGUGGGCACCGCGGGCGCCCGGCCC
This 1021-nucleotide long non-coding RNA is filed under the name Chloebia gouldiae (Gouldian finch). Its description in RNAcentral is "Erythrura gouldiae (Gouldian finch) lncRNA (ENSEGOG00005007038.1)". The record is from RNAcentral. Lineage: Eukaryota; Metazoa; Chordata; Aves; Passeriformes; Passeridae.